AUUGAACGCUAGCGGGAUGCUUUACACAUGCAAGUCGAGCGAGCGGCGGACGGGGGAGUAAUGUAUGGGGACUGCCCGAUAGAGGGGGAUAACUACUGGAAACGGUAGCUAAUACCGCAUACUAUCGGAUAACCCAUAUGGGAUUAGCUAGUAGGUGAGGUAAUGGCUCACCUAGGAGACGAUCCCUAGCUGGUCUGAUAGGAUGAUCAGAAACACUGGUGCGGAGACAAGGCCCAGACUACUAGGGAGGCAGAAGUGGGGAAUAGUGCCCAAUGGGAGCAAGCCUGAAGCAGCCAUGCCGCGGGGAGGAAGAAGGCCCUAGGGUUGUAAAGUACUUUCAGUCGGGAGGCGUUACCGACAGAAGAAGGACCGGCUAACUACGUGCCAGCAGCCGCGGUAAUUC
This 403-nucleotide ribosomal RNA is filed under the name uncultured bacterium. RNAcentral describes it as "partial 16S ribosomal RNA". It matches the Rfam family "Bacterial small subunit ribosomal RNA", at positions 29 to 526 of the family's 1533-position model. The record is from RNAcentral.